CUUAUUUGAAACAGGAUACAACCUACAAUACUGGGUAAAUAAUAAGUGAAUAAAAUAAAGUUGGCCUAAAAGCAGCCACCUUAAAAAAGCGUUAAAGCUUAGUUCUACACACUUACAAUUUCUAAAAUUUUGAUCAACCCUUUAUCCCUACUGAAUUAUUUUAUAUCCUUAUAAAAGUAAUAAUGCUAGAACUAGUAACAAGAAACUGCCCAUUCUCCUAAAUGCAAGCAUAAACCAGAAUAGACA
Molecule: ribosomal RNA, 246 nt
Filed under: Lithobates pipiens (northern leopard frog)
Lineage: Eukaryota; Metazoa; Chordata; Amphibia; Anura; Ranidae
Description: Rana pipiens (northern leopard frog) partial 16S ribosomal RNA
Source: RNAcentral